AGCAGUAGCCGCGGUAAAACGGAGGGUGCAAGCGUUAAUCGGAAUUACUGGGCGUAAAGCGCACGCAGGCGGUCUGACAAGUCAGAUGUGAAAUCCCCGGGCUUAACCUGGGAACUGCAUUUGAAACUGUCAGGCUGGAGUCUUGUAGAGGGGGGUGGAAUUCCAGGUGUAGCGGUGAAAUGCGUAGAGAUCUGGAGGAAUACCGGUGGCGAAGGCGGCCCCCUGGACAAAGACUGACGCUCAGGUGCGAAAGCGUGGGGAGCAAACAGGAUUAGAUCCCCAGUAGUCCCUGUCUCUUAUACA
RNAcentral lists this ribosomal RNA (303 nucleotides) under uncultured bacterium. RNAcentral's name for it is "partial 16S ribosomal RNA". It matches the Rfam family "Bacterial small subunit ribosomal RNA", at positions 507 to 808 of the family's 1533-position model. The record is from RNAcentral.